GCCAUCUUAGCUCAGUUGGUAGAGCAACGGAUUUGUAACCCGUAGGUCACCAGUUCGACUCUGGUAGAUGGCUCCA
RNAcentral lists this transfer RNA (76 nucleotides) under Candidatus Peregrinibacteria bacterium. RNAcentral describes it as "tRNA-Thr". It matches the Rfam family "tRNA". Rfam says of the family: Transfer RNA (tRNA) molecules are approximately 80 nucleotides in length. Their secondary structure includes four short double-helical elements and three loops (D, anti-codon, and T loops). Lineage: Bacteria; Candidatus Peregrinibacteriota. The record is from RNAcentral.